This 77-nucleotide transfer RNA is filed under the name bacterium. RNAcentral's name for it is "tRNA-Ile". It matches the Rfam family "tRNA". From Rfam's summary of the family: Transfer RNA (tRNA) molecules are approximately 80 nucleotides in length. Their secondary structure includes four short double-helical elements and three loops (D, anti-codon, and T loops). The record is from RNAcentral.
GCGCGCAUAGCUCAGCCGGUUAGAGCAGAGAUCUUAUAAGUCUCAGGUCGGUGGUUCGAGUCCACCUGCGCGCACCA